GAUGAACGCUAGCUACAGGCUUAACACAUGCAAGUCGAGGGGAAACGACAUCGAAAGCUUGCUUUUGGUGGGCGUCGACCGGCGCACGGGUGAGUAACGCGUAUCCAACCUGCCCACCACUUGGGGAUAACCUUGCGAAAGUAAGACUAAUACCCAAUGAUAUCCCACGAAGGCAUCCGAAUGGGAUUAAAGAUUUAUCGGUGAUGGAUGGGGAUGCGUCUGAUUAGCUUGUUGGCGGGGUAACGGCCCACCAAGGCUACGAUCAGUAGGGGUUCUGAGAGGAAGGUCCCCCACAUUGGAACUGAGACACGGUCCAAACUCCUACGGGAGGCAGCAGUGAGGAAUAUUGGUCAAUGGGCGAGAGCCUGAACCAGCCAAGUAGCGUGCAGGAUGACGGCUCUAUGGGUUGUAAACUGCUUUUAUAAGGGAAUAAAGUGAGUCUCGUGAGACUUUUUGCAUGUACCUUAUGAAUAAGGACCGGCUAAUUCCGUG
RNAcentral lists this ribosomal RNA (492 nucleotides) under uncultured bacterium. Its description in RNAcentral is "bacterial SSU rRNA". It matches the Rfam family "Bacterial small subunit ribosomal RNA", at positions 28 to 507 of the family's 1533-position model. The record is from RNAcentral.